GGACUACACGGGUAUCUAAUCCUGUUUGCUCCCCACGCUUUCGCACCUCAGCGUCAGUAUCUGCCCAGGUCGCCGCCUUCGCCGCUGGUGUUCCUCCCGAUAUCUACGAAUUUCACCUCUACACCGGGAAUUCCGCGACCCUCUUCAGUACUCGAGCCCGCCAGUUUCGAAUGCACUUCCUCGGUUGAGCCGAGGGAUUUCACACCCGACUUAACAGGCCGCCUACGUGCGCUUUACGCCCAAUGAUUCCGAGCAACGUUUGCACCCUCCGUAUUACCGCGGCUGCUGGCAC
Molecule: ribosomal RNA, 292 nt
Filed under: uncultured bacterium
Lineage: Bacteria
Description: partial 16S ribosomal RNA
Source: RNAcentral